AUCAACCUUCUGUUCUGUUAAACCUGGGAAGAAAGAGGUUUCAAAGAGUUCUUCCUCUUUAUGAGCCUUCUUACAGCCAAAUCCACUGCAGGUGGUGAAGGUAGGGGAAAAUAGGCAUUGACUUGUGCAUCUGGAUGCUGGGGAUGGACCACUGACAAGUGUUUUCAUUGAUCUGAAAUUAGCAAGACCACAGGCCAGAGUUGUCUCAAAUCCUCAUGUAUAUAUGAAUCACCAGGGCAUCUUGUUAAGAUGCUGCAGGUUUAGGGAGGGGCAGAGAGUGUGCCUUUCUAACAAGCUUCCAGGUGAUAUUGAGAUCUUGAUGCAGCUGGUUCUCAGACCGUGCUUUGAGAAGCGAGGCUACGCUUACCUGGCAGUUUGCUUUUUGGAGAUUUAUCCCGAGGGAACAUGGAUAAUAAAAGCCGUAUUGGGUCAAGAAGUUUUCAUCUAAGAAGGAGGAUUGUGCAAUAGAAAGAGGACUAACGAGGAGCAGGAAAACCAGGGCUGAAUUCCAAGUUAUGCAACAAGCUAACUGAGUGCAUUUGGAUAAGCUAUAGCCUCUCUGAGCUACAAGGAGGAGGUUAAGCUGUGUUGAACAUGUAUCCAGAGCACAAACAGAAACACCCAUUUGGAAAUGUCUGGAUUUGAUGAUGUCCAAGGUCCCUUCUUAACACGGAUAUCCUGUGAUCUCAGUGACAAGCAUAAAGAGGGAAAGAGGAAUACUCCAGUGUUCCUGAGAUGAAUCGAGACAGCAAACAGGAAACCAUCUUUGAAAAGCAAGAAGAAGCACCAAAGGUGAAAGAACAGAGAGGAGGGAAUGACUUACAACAGAACCAACAUGUGGCUGCUGCUGCUGCUGGUCAUCUCUAACUGACCACUUUACUGUCAGUGCCAAGCAUUGUGUCAAGCGCUGGAUCAAUAUUAUCUCACUUAAUUGUCAUCCCCGUUCUGUGAGGACAAGGAGGACAAACCAAUGUACUGUAGCUGAAAGAAACAAUUGUCAGAGGCGUGUCAUGACUGGAGAGAAUUUGAAGGGAGAGGAGGAGAGACUGCAGCUGCAGGAUGUCUGAAACCUGCAUUCAAAGGCACUGUGCUAGAGCCACAGGGAGCAAGUGCUGACUUGGUUACGCUAUCACUUCCAGGAAUCCAGCCCCCAUCCCCCAAAGUUUAUACGUGGGACGCCUACCACAGCAUGGCUGCCAAGCAGUGCCAUGUCCGCACCCGGGAUCCGAACCAGCGAACCCCGGGCCACCGAGAAGCGGAACGUGCGAACACCGGGCCGGCCCCUCUCUUUUAAACUUGAGUGGCACAAGAAAGCAGCCACCAGUCUUUCUGGGGACGUGUCCUAUCCCUUCCAGCUACAUCAUCCACACCAGCAGAGAUCCGGAACCCUAUGCAGACGACCCCAGUCCAGGUCACAAGGUGACCAUCACAGAGAAGGGAAAUAUGUUACUUGUUGACAAUACACUGAGCUCACACUGAUGGACAUGCUUAAUCUUCACUCUCCUCCUCCAAGGCUAUAUUUCUCCUGGGGGAACAUGACAUCUUUAUUUUGACAAAAUGUCCUGAGUGGGAGGUGAAGACAGACUACAGCCCUCGAGCCACCAUUUAUUUGAAACUGCCAGCCUUUUUCCUCCAGAACCAAUGAUGCAGAAGUCUUCCAAAAUUUGAACAUCAUUGUGUUAUUUAAUAGCCAAAAAUCUUAUUUUUCUCCUGAUUUAUGCUUGAUAACCCUCUUGAAAUCAUUUAAGGAUAUGUACAAAAGAUAUACUUUUAUGUAGGAUCUAGUUUGAACUCAGAAAGUUAGCAAAAUAUAAAUGAAAUGGUAGAAAAAUGGCAAUAAUGCCACCAUAUUUUGGCUAAUAUGUUCCUAUGCUAAUUAACUGGACUGAAUGUGGAAAACAUACAGAGUUCAGUGAAAGAGGACAUCUGGCCAUCCCAUCUGAACUACUUAUUAGCUCUGUGACCUUGGCUAAGUCACUUAACUUCUCUGAAUCAGUUUCCUCAUCUAUAAAAUUGAAGACACUAAUACUGAGCUUACAGUAUUAUUUGAAUUACUACUUUUACAGUGUGAACCAUACACACAUCAUCUUGUCUGAACUUCUGUCAUGCUUUAGUCAUAUUACUUUUAUAAUUACUAGUGUUUCUAUAUGUAUCAUCUCUUAUUUAGGUGAAAAUAAUUUAAUUGCUUAAUAGUUUACAGAGGGAUUCACACACAUUAGAUCAAUUGAUCUUCACAGCAACCCUGGUAAAUAAGACAGGUAGAUAUUAUUCCAUUUUAGAAGCAAGGAAGUGAGAAGCAAAGAAUUCAAUAAUUUCCCUAAACUCACACAGCUAGAAUGUAGUAGAAGGCAAUGCAAACCCGGCAUUCUGAUUCUACUCUCAUUAAUAGAGCCAUGUUCCCAGGUCAAAUGCUCACUAAAGAGAAGGGUGUAGACUUUCACUAAGACAGGACUGGGACUUCACCCUUGAAUCCACUUCCCUUCCCAUCCCAACUCCCAGGGCCUAGCGCCAUCUUUUAUUCAUAGUGGGCUCUCCACACAUAUUUGCGGAACUCAUUCAUUCACUCAAUCAUUCAAUAUUUAUUGAAUGUCUAUAUGCUAGGCACUCUGCUAAGUGCUAAGAUACUACGAUGAGAAAUACAGACUUGACUGUGCCUACAAAGACUUAUAAUAAACGGAAGGAAGGAAGGAAGGAAAGAAGGGAGGAAAGAAAGAAGGAUGGAGAGAGGGAGGAGGGAGGGGAAGCAAACUGGGCAGAUAUUCUUAAUUUUUUAAUCUGGAUAAAAUACAAAAGUUAGGUCCAGCCCAGGUCAGUCUCCAUAGUGGUGCUCAGAAAGUUCUUGGCCCCAGCCCCAGAGUAAUAUUUUUAGCAAUACUGUAAAGAUUUCUUCAAGGUGGUUUGUCGCAGGCUUUCUGGAUUGCUGGGGAGGAAAUGUGAAGGUGUGUCCGACCCGGUUGCAGAAGGUACACAUAACGGAGUGCAUCGAAGUCAGGGGAAGCUUGCUAGCUUCAUUUUCUGAUACUUCUCCUCAUCUAGAUGAGAGAAGUGUUUAUUUAGGAGUGUUCUCCCUGCCCUUGGCUUAGAAACAAGCUAUAAAUUUUACUAAUCUCAAAGAAGACCAUUUUUUUGUGUGCUUUUUCUCUUUGGUAUAAACUCAUAGACACUUGCUCUGAAAAUCAGCCCUGAGUUAUGCAUCAAUGUUUCCAAUUACAUUCCAGUUACAUGAAGUUUAACAACUCUGAAUAAUGAUUUUAGGGGCGGGGCACAGUGAUUCCCAUCCAAGGGAAGGGAAAUAACAUUCAGCACCUACCUCACAGCCAGCUCCUGUACAGCUCUAUUUUGUCACUGUUUCAUCCUUCGUACAAGACACAGCAGCCCUCAGUAAACAAAGGAUGGUAGAGCAAUACUUAAUUUCCUUAAAUUAUCCAGAAUAUCAAUUAGGAAAUUGAUUUCCUACUUUUCGUGAAAGUAUUUACAAAUGAAUAAAAUUGUGAUGUGAGUUCUCCUUUAUGCAGAAGCCAUUUUAAAAAUUGCUGAAUUCUAAUCUUUUUACAAAAAUUUUCUGCUUUUCAGAUAAUAGGCAUUGACAAGAAUUCAUUUCUUCCUGGCACAUUCACCAUGGCGUACUUGUAAACAUAAUGUACAUAAUCAGUAGAUAGAAAAAUAGCAAAGUAUAUAUCUUCUAAGAAUUUAGUGCUUGAGUAGAAUGAAUGACUUAUUAACCCGUGUUAUAGAUAAUAACUCAUGCUGCGAUACUUUCUACUGAUGAUGUUUAAACCUACAGCAGUGACCAUAGGCAUGAAAAAUUGCCAGGCCAGUCUUGCAGUCCUUUGCAACGUCUAUUUCUAGAAAUAUUUUUUAGAAGUUGGGUAUUUCUAUUUUCUACUACAUCCUCUCAGAAAACAAGUUAUACUUGUCAAUACCGAAAACUAGUUACUCUUAUUAAUGUAAAUUGCGUGAUCACAUCCUUUGGUAAUUUUAAUAAAUAAAAGACAUAAUGGCAAACCAACACCAAAAGAUUUAUAGGUUAUAAUUCAUUCUGUUUCCUAAUUAGGUUUGUAAGAAUGAUCUACAAGAAGGAA
Molecule: long non-coding RNA, 4082 nt
Organism: Equus caballus (horse)
Lineage: Eukaryota; Metazoa; Chordata; Mammalia; Perissodactyla; Equidae
Source: Ensembl